Molecule: long non-coding RNA, 5270 nt
Organism: Tigriopus californicus
Lineage: Eukaryota; Metazoa; Arthropoda; Copepoda; Harpacticoida; Harpacticidae
Exons: 2
Source: RefSeq, a predicted model, not a curated record
UCCUCAAUCAAUAUUCCCUAUCCAUAUUAGAAAGAAAAUCCUGCACAAUGAAGGAGCACGAAAAAAAGGCGUCAUUGUUUAACUAACCUGUAUUCUCGAAGUCUUAAAGUUGCUCUCAAAACGCCCGUUAAGCCUUUAAGGUCACUACAAUUGACCCUAAAACCCGGGUUGGGCCGAGGCUCAUGAAAUGCUUUUGAAAACGUUCAUUAUCAGAUGCCUUUCGGACCUUCUUUGAAUACUGUACAGCCCUAACCAUUCUACAGUAGUCUCCUUUUCGCUUCGCCUGUGUAGGGAAAUCGGCCUUUGCAUGGUCCAAAUUUUCUGACAGGCAUUGUCAUUGUCCGAUAUCAGAUCGGUUUAUUGACUGGGGGUGUGACUAGCGUCUAAAAGUUGCCUUGAGAAAGGUCGUUAAUAAAAGUAAAACAGGGGACCUCUCCUCUCAAGCAUAGAAACUUCGCUAACCAAAUGCGAGGUAAUCCCAACAUCUCUGGAUGUCAGCCUGAAUUUAGACUUGCUCCUUCCGUUUCCGUUCAGGGUUUCCAACACCUGGAUGAAAAUUAUAAUUAUGUCCUCAUCCUACCCUUUGAGAGGCCCUGUCCUUGCAUGCUUCAAAUAAUUGGUUUGCGCCUGGCCCACACGCUUCUUCAGUUUAGCCGCUAGUACUAGUACCCUUUUAAGUGGGUCGAAGAACAUUUUGUUUGACUCAACCAAAAGCUAGACCAAAUGAUAAAUGAUUAGACAUCACACAGCCUUUAACUUUGACCCUCAAGUGAUUAAGCUGAAAAUUGAAUACUUAAUACCGUAAAUAAUGGAUACGAAGCAAGCCAUAUAGCAAAGAGAAAAGAACGUCAAGGAUUGAUUUCAGUUACAAGUAGCCAUUUUCAUUUGUGGCUUCUCUGUCCAUCAAAAAAGGAGUUCUUGCGUGAGUGAGUCGGUACACACUAACAGGCCUUAGAUCUGUGCCAUGUAAUUUGACAAGUCAUGCUUUUCCAAUGUAUGGUUUAGGGAGUCAAAGUUCCCAGCAUAUUGUGUGUGUUUGUGCCUAGAGGCAGCAUCGUCGCCUAUGGCCUACCCGCAUGUCAUCUACCAAAAAUGUGCGGUUAAGCUUUUGAUGUCGUGACCCGAUUAUGUAACCAUUCCAGCUCGUUGUUGGCUUUGUCAAUGGAAUAAUGACACCAGCCCAAAUGUAAUUGAAUACGCACAAAAUCAGAACCGGAAAUUGCUGUUGAGAGAAAUGAUCGACUAGUAUGCCUUCAUGGAUGGACGCAUGCCCGAUGAGCAACGAGUGUAUGAUACAUCAUCAAAUAAAGUUAGUUGGGUGGUCCGGAAUCUGUACGAUCUUAAAAGGUUUGGGAGUCCGGUAAUGAGGGUCACAUUGGUCCAGCCUUUUCGGCUCGAACAAAAACGUUGUCAGAUCAUUUUUGUUGCAGUAAUGAAGCACGUAGUGAAAAAUAUGGCUCGUACGAGACUAAUGAAAGCUUACAAACAUUGUCUUCUGGAGUGAUUUCAAAUCGAGGCAAUUAUUCUAUCAAGACACAAAAUCAGUUGCCCAUUAGACCUGUGCUCCAUAACAUCGAGAUUACGGUUUCUUAGACCAAUACUAAGAAUGCCAGUCAAUUCAUAUGAGACAGUCCAAAGUAAUUGAAGUUGCCCUCGUUUGUGAAGUCCGCUUUCCGAAGAAACUCCAGACAAAACCGUUACCGAUGAUGAGGAUCGAGUAAGAGAUAUCCUAAGGUAAUGUGCGGAUACAAAUUGUGCGUUCCUGUCAAGGUUUUUUGUUAUCCUUGGCUAGAUUCCUUGCAGAAUAUUAGAGGUCUCACGCAUUUGUGCGGCUUUCAACCAAAUUCCACCAACAACGAGAGUUGAAAGGAAAGUCAUUCAAUCUGGACCACCCAUCCAUUCUACUACAAUAAGCAAGAUUUACAUCAAUUACAUCAUUCAAUUCACCUCCUCCCCUGGAUAUACAAUGUCCGCGCUUCCCUAGUUCACUUUUUCCAUAUCCACUAAACCAUUUCGAGUCAUCUUUCUUGUCAUAUAUCCCACACUAGUCAAUCCAUUAUUUGAUCACUCUGAUAAUAUUACACUUUUAUCAAUGUCUACAUACACUCAUCCAUUCAAAUUUUUACACUUUAGGCAAUGACUUGACCGAGAGUGGCAAUAACGAUUAUCAUUAAGACAAGGAUUUUGGCCUGAUUUUGAAGCCGAGUCUUUUUCGAUUCACCAAAAUCUGUUUUACUAACGCAUUUAGUCAAAAAUACCCUUGGAACUCUAACAACAUUACUUCGGACUAGAGGGCUUGUCACUACUUCGUAUUAGCCUGUAACUCAUGUUCAAACUCGUGGAAAUGUGUAACAAAAUUUGAAAUGAAUUAACAAAAUCCUUAACAAAAGUGUUAAAUAAAAAUAGCAUAAAUGGAACGAAACGUGCUUGCUCUUUCAAUUUGUGCCCUCAUUGGGUUGAGCUUGACAUACUCUUAACUUUUGACACAGAUGUUCAAUUGAUAUCAAAACUGACCAAUGCUUUCUGAGUCUGUAAAAACUCAACGUAGAGGGCGGACUAGAAAUUGAUUUGCACGUUGAGCAGCAAUUUGAGAGGGUUUCUCGUAACCGGUUUCCUUCUUUCGAUAGUUCAGACCAUCCACACUGAGGAAAACCAAUCACUCAUUUGUAACCUUUUUUGAUAUCUACUCAACGUGAGCAAAAAUGCAAAGAAAUGCAAAUUGUUCUAGUCCUGUUUACACUCUUUAUAUAAUCAUAGGCAAAAUGAUGAAAGAGAAGAAUAUGAAGGUGAGCAAAAAAAUGCAAAAGAACAUCGGGAAGGGUUGCACAGACUCUCUUUAUAGGCACUUUACUCUACAUAUUGAAUGAAUAGCCUAAACUGGGUCAGGCAGGCAAAACCCAGAGGGGUGAAGUGCGCUAGGUUACCAAAGGAACUUUCUUUUUACGGGCUAUAAAAUAAAACGGCUUGCGUCGGAACACGAUUUUGAAUGGUUUUGCUUCAGGCCAUGAAAAGCAUGGCAAAGCAUUGAAGCUUACGUAAUGCAUCAAUAACUUUGAGCUAACAAAUAAGGACAGAAACGGGAAAAAUGAAAUUCUCCUUAACCUUAUAUUUUGGACAUUUAGUAAAGAAAAAAUCAAAGCAUUGGAAGCACUUGGUUUUUCAAAGUAUUGGCCGAAGCAUAAAUAUUAAUUUGAGCCGGUUUGAAAUAUACGACUCUCUUUUCUUAUUGAAUAUUUAAAGAGAAGCUCAAACAAGCCCUCGCUUUUAUGGAUCUCCAAACCCCAGACAUGUAAAGCAAAUUUCAGUCCAGGCAAUCCAUUCAAUUCUGUUGAAGGGCCAAACAAGAAGUUUUAUUCUCUGGUCACCCGAGAGUGACGAAAAUGAUCAAAUCUUGUCACAUGGCAAACUGCUGUCCCGGGAUCAUCUUUCCUUUCGACUGUUUGAGGAGGACAAACUCUGGCUUGAAAGUUCAAAGCAUGAAUCUUUUGUACAGGGUCAGGCGCUUCAAAAGAAACAGCGAGUGCACUCUUCUACGAUUCUUUCUUUUUCCAGCACUGUCGUCCAGAUACCCUACUCCACAUGUUUUAAGCUUUGAACAUACAUUACACAUGCAUACGGUACAUAUACAUACAUACAUCUUGACGCACAGAAAAUGAACAACUAGUGGCCUUUUGUUAAAAAAUAAAUUGGUAGCGGUCUUUCUAAACCUCAAACUUUAGUUACAUCUUCUUUAAUGAACUUUUAACCGAGUACUUAGUUGAUUGUGUGGUAAUCUAUUUGUGUUUUGGUUGAAUCAGAAGCGUUUCACUUGCCAUAGUCUUGACAAAAAUCAUGCAUACUGAUCUAUGCAUAUGUGAGCCUAUCCCUGUCGAUAGGUAUGGUCUAGCUCAGCUCAAGGGUUCGCUCAAGUCCUGGAGCGACGAGAGUAUGCUCAGUAGUCAAAGUACAAACAUUUCUUUUUGAGUUCGGAGCUCAAUUCAAAAGCACGUGGUCCUGUUUACGUCACUCCACACAUUGAUAACUCGCUCGUCGUGUGGCUUGAGAAAGCUCAGACGCUUUGAAGUAAUCAAAUUGGCGAAUUUAGCAUUCUUUGGGCGAGAAAGAAAAGAAACUAUUACUAAGGCGUCGUUCAAACAGUGGUUAUCGAUGUCAAGCUUCAAACCAUUUCAGAUGUUGCACCUGACCAUGGGCGAGCCCUUUACAAUCGGCCAUGCUUUUCGGGACAGGUUGGAAUGCACAUUUGAAGAGAAAAGUACGCUCUUACACAAGUGCUAAACAACCCAUAAUGCAUCAUUUCAUGAGCAGAGCUUGAAAGGGUUAACGUGCCCUCAUUUCAUCCAGUGAAUCGAUUUGAAAGGCACUUGGAAUGGGUAGGUGCCUAAAACCUGCCUUUCAGACAGGCACCAGAACGAUGACGAGAGUCCAUCAUCUAUCUACCUUCUAGUAUUAAUGCGAAGUGCUGUGGAAUUUGAAAGGAUUCAGGUUGUGAGGAGUCUCAUUUGAUGUCAUGUGACAUUGGAAUCAUUCUUGGUCUUCGUUGUAUGUUAGUUUUCGUUGUCCUUCCAAAGUUUCAAGUCAUGAUGACUUUGAUCAUGUGGCAUUAAAGAUGAAACAAUAACAGUUUGGGGCUCUUAAAGUAGAUCGUUUGAUCUACGUUCUGGCGGCUGUCUGGCAAGACUUUUGCUGACAUUUUAAUAGGGAAAAUACUUAACAUUGGGCCAUUUGAGGGUUGACGCACAACUGGCUACAAACAUGAAACACUAACCUGUUUACUGGGCAGGCCAUCUUCCCCCGGGACAUGGUGGCUCAUGUUGAAAAGAUUUUUCACUUCUGGAUGCUCCUUGAACAUGAUCCUGUACAUGGUACUGGUGAUUUGUGUGCCAUUGUCCUGGACCACGGGUGCCGUGGCCUUCAGAAUGGAAAUCGUCUGUUCGUCCAACCCCAUUUGGAACGAAGUCUUUGUUGACUAAGCGAGUGAACUGAAGUCGGUUUUCGAGAGCAACAACAAGCGUCUGCACUUGAGGAGAGAGCAACUUGUAAUGACUCCGCUUAGUCUUCGAGACUUCUACAUUAUACGUGAAACCUCGACGAGGACCCCUAGAUUUCUCUGGACGUGAACUCGCCGCAAUCCAAAUUACGCCAGAAGAAGUGGACAUUGUCGGGUGAUCUCAUCGACGUGCAACUAAAACUUGCUUGAACCUCAUACCCUCUCGCAUAAACUGGAUUGUCAAAGUACUUUUUUGACUGCAUUAAAAAAGUUUGUUGAUUAA